RNAcentral lists this long non-coding RNA (1694 nucleotides) under Triticum aestivum (bread wheat). RNAcentral describes it as "long non-coding RNA (TAES_LNC006050)". The record is from RNAcentral. Lineage: Eukaryota; Viridiplantae; Streptophyta; Magnoliopsida; Poales; Poaceae.
CCCGGCGUUUUUGUGCGUCGUAUUCGGUAUGUAGCUUGAUCCUCAAGUCUGAUUUGGUAGUGUGUAGGGAUUUUUCAGUCAGAUCUGCUACUUAUCCCCCUUUGGAUCUCGCAUGUGGUAAUCCCCCGCAGCUAUUUUGAUGCAGAUGCCUUGUUGCGUUUGUUAGUGGUAUUGAAUCUCAUCUGUCUUGUGUGCUAUGUUAGGGAUUACCUUGUAGGUUUUAUUUGAUCUGUUUCAGUUAGUAGUUGGAAUUCUGGUGGUUGUCGUGGGCAGCUGCUAAUUUCGUAUAUGCUGGAUCGUGUUUCAGUGACUUUAGUGCCCUGCUCACCUUGGAUUCUCUAGUGUUUUUGUUUGUGGCUAUAGGUUAUAUAUCCCCUGGGUCGUUUGUUGAUGUAGGUUUAUAUGUAGUGUUUUUUGCGAUUUUGCUUGUAUAGCUAGUCAACAAGCUUAUGUUGUCGUAUGUAGUGUGUUUCGCUUGCAGACUUCAGCUCUGUUCUUUGUGUUUCUGUGAGACAGAAUGUCCUUUUCAUUUUCAGCUAUGUAAAUGUCUGAUUGCUCUACUAGAAAUCCCUGUUUUCUUAGUGGAUUUACAGUGUGUUUUCUUACUGUUUAACACUGUAAUUCUCAGUGGAUUUACAGUGUAAUUUCUUAGCAGAUUUACACUGUAAUUUUAAGUGAAUUUACACUGUAUUUUUUAGUGAAUUUACACUGUAAUUUUCAGUGGAUUUAUAUUGUAUGUUUAUUGGAUUUAUACUGUAAUUUGCAGUGGAUCUACACUGUAGUUCUUAGUGAAUUUACUCUGUAGUUUUUAGUUGAUCUUUCAUUGUAAUCCUAUAAGAAUUACACUAUAUCUCUUGAUUUUUACAGUGUAAUUCUUAGUGGAGUUACACUGUAAUCCUUAGUGUCUUUAUAGUGACUAUUAGUUUUUCUUGGAUUUACCUUGUAUUUGCACUGUUAACUCUUGAUUUUUACAGUGUAAUUUGCAGUGUAUUUACUCUGUAAUUCUUAGUGUAUUUUGGCUAGGGUCUAUUAGUGGGUUUUUACCCUUGUAAUCUGCAUUUGACUAGGGACUAUUAUGUGGAUUAUUCAUGUAUUAUCUUUAGUGGAUUUUAUAGUGUAAUUCUUAUUGGAUUUUAUAGUGUAAUUCUCAGUGGGCUUACAGACACUGUAAUAUUUCAGUGGAUUCUACCCUUAGUGAAUUUGACUAGGGCUGUUAGUUGGUUUUUACCCUUGUACUCUGCAGUUGAGUAGGGUCUAUUAUGUGGAUUUUUUGGUCUGAGCAUUUUUCAGGUAGCCAAUCUCUGUCUUGUUUAAUUUACUUUCAUGCAUUUGGUUGUUUCUUUAUUUUAUUUUUUACCCUGAUGUCAUUUUGGUUUUGCUGUGUAGGUUGCAAAAGUCUCUUGCUCUUGAAUCUACGAAGAAAGCAUCAAAUGAUUCGUCAGUUAGUAAAUCUGCUGGUAAUGUUUUGUCAAACGAGGGUACAAAGGAUGGUCCAAAUUUGGUUUCUUGUGUGUACUAUGUAGUAUCAGUGCUUAGUUUUUUUAGUUCAGUGUGAUCUUCAUAGUAAUUACAUUUAAAAGAUCAUAGUAAUUCUAAGUUCAAGUGGCAGUAAUUUGUUGUUUUAUACAGUUCCAAAGUUUCUAAUAUUCAAUCAUAGUUUCAUUUUGGAUUCUGAGCAGGAACAAAUUGGUUUC